CCUACGGGUGGCAGCAGUGAGGAAUAUUGGUCAAUGGGCGCAAGCCUGAACCAGCCAAGUCGCGUGAGGGAUGACGGUCCUAUGGAUUGUAAACCUCUUUUGCCGGGGAGCAAGGCCCGCCACGUGUGGCGGGAAGGAGAGUACCCGAAGACAAAGCAUCGGCUAACUCCGUGCCAGCAGCCGCGGUAAUACGGAGGAUGCGAGCGUUAUACGGAUUGAUUGGGUUUAAAGGGUGCGUAGGCGGAAGGUUAAGUCAGCGGUCAAUUGUCGGUGCUAAAUCCCGGCCUGCCGUUGAAACUGGUCUUCUUGAGUGAGCGAGAGGAAUGCGGAAUGCGUGGUGUAGCGGUGAAAUGCAUAGAUAUCACGCAGAACUCCGAUUGCGAAGGCGGCAUACCGGCGCUCAACUGACGCUGAGGCACGAAAGCGUGGGGAUCGAACAGGAUUAGAUACCCGGGUAGUC
RNAcentral lists this ribosomal RNA (460 nucleotides) under uncultured bacterium. Its description in RNAcentral is "partial 16S ribosomal RNA". It matches the Rfam family "Bacterial small subunit ribosomal RNA", at positions 338 to 795 of the family's 1533-position model. The record is from RNAcentral.